AACUUCAAUUUUAAUCUGGAUAACGCCAAAGCUUUUCCUCAAAUUCACCCCUGGAGUCAGCUCAUAGAUGCUCUGAUUUUGUCUACCAUUGCUCCUCCUUAAUAUCUCUCGCACAGGUGCCAUUGACCUUUAGAUGGGCUGUACGGUGUGGGGUUCGGUGCCAUGGAUCUGCUUCUCCAGGGACCAGGAUCUUGAGAUCUUCAGGCUGGGUUUCCAUGGAGGCAUGGAGCUGCUUUUCCUCCUUCAUAACUGCACUCAAAACAGCCCUGUUGCUCUAGAAUGGAGACUUGGGCAACUCCUUCUGGCACAGAUUUGUUCACCUCAGGUGAAAUUCAGAUAGAAGCAAGCUGCAGGCAGUUUCACCUCUAAGUCCAUGGGUUCUCAACUGGUAACGUCCUCUUAUGGAUGUUAGCCCAUGAGGUCAAUCCUGUAGCAAUCUAAGGCUUGAGAAAAAUUAAUCUUCUGGAAAAUUCCAAGAAUACAUCUUAGGGAAACUGGCUCUACCUUUAUGACUUGGAUCACACAAGGAUAUGCUUUUCAUCUUGGACUAGAACUGAGAGCCAAUGGAUGUGUUAUCUAAAACUAUCCCAGUGUGUUCACUAUACAGAGGAAGAUUCUGAGAUUCAAGACUCAAGACUGAAGAAGAUCAUUAUUUUUAUUAUUUUAGUCUUAUGCACAAAAUGAUAUCUACUGAAUAAGCAGGUUUUUAAUAGGUGACUUAUAUAUGUUAGCAAAAAUAAACACUUUGUCUUUUAGAUCUAUUCUAGUUUUUCAGUAGCUGUAGACUUAAGUGCUAACUUUUAGCCCAUAGGAUAAGAAGAAACCAAGUCCUAAAAGUAGGCCAGCACCAGGGUUCAGGCCUCUGACUUCAAGCCAAGGGCUCAUCAUCUUGAAUUGCGCACGAAUUUUUACACAGCGCCAAAGGAAACUGCCUGUACUUACUGUUGUAGGUGCUUUGCUGGAUUCAGGAUGCAGACAAGGUCCACGCAUUGUGGUUGGAACAAUGACUAGAUCUUUACCUGGUCCACAGCCCUCCCCAGUCUGGCUGCAACCUCUCAUGAGGCUGAGCUCACCAUGAACCCCUGCUCUAGGCGUCUGCAUAGUGUUCUGUUUGUCCCCGUGACUGUCCACCUCUUCUUUGGCCUGUUGGCAUGCGCUUAUCCUCCAGACCUCAGUCCAAAGCACAGCUUUGACAUCACAUAGGCACCAUUUGGUGGUCUUCACAAGUCACUGGGCUUUGAUAAACACCCUUCACCAUAAGGAAAAUGAGUCGGAUGACUUAAGGAUCACCCCAAAUCAGGCAUAAAAUCUGGAUUCUUCUGGUCGCAGGCCAGCAGGUCUUGGUGCCUUCGGAUCCUUAGAGUGUCCUAAUUUGGCUACAGUUUUCUGUCUGCAGAAAGGCUCCCAAAGGGAAGACGCCAGGCUGGAACGAGAGUGACUCAUCCCGGGCCCUCAUUGUGCCUGAUUCACCCAGAGGAAGCUUUGUGUGGACACAGCUACCCUCUGGAGAUAUUUCAGGCCUUUGGGAACAGAGUAGGGUUCCUGCCUUUGUAACGAGCAAGUUCUUGGCUCCCUUCCGCCCUGUUUGCCACCUUCCCUCUAUUUCUGUGGUUUCCUUAUUUGCCAGUUCCUGGGCCUGGUGGACCCCACCACGACUUCUUUUUGUGAGUCCGUUCUGUCCUGCAUCCCUACCACAGCUGUACCUGGCCCCAGACUCCCUCCUCCUAGCUGGCGGGCGGGUGGGCAGGGUUCCUCCCCUAACCCAUCAGGGCCUCAUCUCUGGAGGCAAUUACUGCCUGGCCUGUGAAAAUAUAUAAGGAGACUUGAAGAGGUAUCAUGUUACAUCCUUCAUAUUUUGCCAGCAAUAAAUCUAGCUCUUUCCUCUUGGGUGGACUCUCAACUCUAAAUUAAGAGUCUAUUUCUAAGGAGGAAGAUUUCAUAGGCCCCGAGGUUCUGUAUGGCCUGCUCACAUUUCAAGGGUUGACCUAAAAGCUGGAGGCUUUCAGAAUCGCAGGAAGUCAUGCCCAGAGAUCUGUGGCUUUAGGAUCCAUGUCCCACUCACAGCCCUCCUGCUUCUCCUGUACUUCCCGCCAGCUCGGACCUCAGGACCUCUCUGGUUUCCACCCUGUGCUCUGGCCUUGGCUGUCCGACCUCACCCAAGCCUGGAUUCUGCUUUUCUCUUCAAAUCUUCCAUAAUCUUUCCUGGGAACACAUCGCAGGCCUAGCAGGGCUUGCUGAGGGAGCAGCUUCCUCGGCUGCCUUGAAAUCUGCAUUUUUAUCUCUUCCUGGUGAGUCUUAUGCCCAGUAAGAUUCAAAAAUGUUUUUCUACAUGCUAAGUUUUGGGGAUCUGAGCUCCAUUCCCCAAAGCCCUGGCUUUAGCUUGCUUCUUAUUUCAAACUCUAUCCUUGUGGGUGGUUCCCCAUUACCUAUCUGCAAAAUAGUCCUAAAUGCAGCCUGGGAGUAGCCCACCUCUGCCCCUCUGCCACAAGCCUCCUCCCAGGUAGCCCUGCUGGCCUGGCCUGGAGAGUCCU
RNAcentral lists this long non-coding RNA (2531 nucleotides) under Homo sapiens (human). RNAcentral's name for it is "HSALNT0357564". The record is from RNAcentral. Lineage: Eukaryota; Metazoa; Chordata; Mammalia; Primates; Hominidae.